Nymphaea colorata (pocket water lily) is the source of this 329-nucleotide long non-coding RNA. RefSeq lists it as uncharacterized. The record is from RefSeq and is a predicted model, not a curated record. Lineage: Eukaryota; Viridiplantae; Streptophyta; Magnoliopsida; Nymphaeales; Nymphaeaceae. The transcript has 3 exons.
CUUGUCCAGGCACCCAUCUCUCAUACCGGUCAAGCAGGUUUGCUGCCCACAGACAUGAAAGAUAAUCGGGUGAACAUACAGCAGAGAGCGGUGGUUCGGCCAUCCUCCUGCUUCUCGGCCAACAGAGGGCCAUCGUGCAUGGAGAUCGCUUGGUCGGAGAGGCAGGUGCCCACUGGGUCGGACCCUCUUCACCAUAACAGGUCACCCUUUGGGCGCCCCCUCCCUUAGGAAGACGACCCCCUGCUGCCUCCCUCCUCCCCUGUUCCUCCGUCCUGGAAAGUAAAACACGUACUGACCUAUAUGUCCUCAGCUUUUCCGGAGAUUAACCC